GCGGGGCCCUGACACCACUGCGGCCGCCGGCCUAAAUUACUACAACACGCCGCGCCUGGACCCGAGGGAGGACCCCUCGGGACCCGGUACGUCGUGUUGUAGUAGUUUAGCCCUGCGGUCGCGGUGGGGUCAGGUCCUUCCGC
Molecule: microRNA precursor, 143 nt
Filed under: Chlamydomonas reinhardtii
Lineage: Eukaryota; Viridiplantae; Chlorophyta; Chlorophyceae; Chlamydomonadales; Chlamydomonadaceae
Description: miR1162 stem-loop (cre-MIR1162)
Source: miRBase by way of RNAcentral